UUACCCAAUCCCAAUUCGGGGAGGUAGUGACAAUAAAUAUCAAUGCGGGGCCCUUCGGGUCUUGCAAUUGGAAUGAGUACAAUUUAAAUCCCUUAACGAGGAUCAAUUGGAGGGCAAGUCUGGUGCCAGCAGCCGCGGUAAUUCCAGCUCCAAUAGCGUAUAUUAAAGUUGUUGCAGUAAAAAGCUCGUAGUUGGAUUUCUGGGCGGAGCGACCGGUCCGCCGCUGUGCGGUGUGUACUUGUGUUCGACUCGGCUCAUCCUUGCGGGGAAGCGUCUUUCCGGCAUUAAUUUGUCGGGGCGGGGAACCGCAUCCUUUACUGUGAAAAAAUUAGAGUGUUUAAAGCAGGCAAAUCGCUGUGAAUACAUUAGCAUGGAAUAAUAACAUAGGACUUUGGUUCUAUUUUGUUGGUUGGAGGCCAAGGUAAUGAUUAAUAGGGACAGUUGGGGGUAUUCAUAUUUAAUUGUCAGAAGUGAAAUUCUUGGAUUUAUGAAAGAUGAACUCAUGCGAAAGCAUUUACCAAGGAUGUUUUCAUUAAUCAAGAACGAAAGUUAGGGGAUCGAAGAAGAUUAGAUACCCUCGUAGUCUUAACCAUAAACUAUGCCGACUAAGGAUCGGAGGGCGUAUUUUUAAUGGGCCCUUCGCACCUACGAGAAAUCAAAGUCUUUGGGUUCCGGGGGGA
This 680-nucleotide ribosomal RNA is filed under the name uncultured eukaryote. Its description in RNAcentral is "SSU rRNA". It matches the Rfam family "Eukaryotic small subunit ribosomal RNA", at positions 441 to 1122 of the family's 1831-position model. The record is from RNAcentral.